RNAcentral lists this ribosomal RNA (384 nucleotides) under uncultured bacterium. RNAcentral's name for it is "bacterial SSU rRNA". It matches the Rfam family "Bacterial small subunit ribosomal RNA", at positions 28 to 412 of the family's 1533-position model. The record is from RNAcentral.
GACGAACGCUGGCGGCGUGCUUAACACAUGCAAGUCGAGCGGUAAGGCCCUUUCGGGGGUACACGAGCGGCGAACGGGUGAGUAACACGUGGGUGACCUGCCCUCAGCUCUGGGAUAAGCCUGGGAAACCGGGUCUAAUACUAGAUAUGACUCCAUGACGCAUGUUGUGGGGUGGAAAGCCUUGUGCGGCUGAGGAUGGGCCCGCGGCCUAUCAGCUUGUUGGUGGGGUGAUGGCCUACCAAGGCGACGACGGGUAGCCGGCCGUGAGAGGGCGACCGGCCACACUGGGACUGAGACACGGCCCAGACUCCUACGGGAGGCAGCAGUGGGGAAUCUUGCGCAAUGGGCGAAAGCCUGACGCAGCGACGCCGCGUGAGGGAUGAC